GUGCUUGCAUCAGCAGCACAUAUACUAAAAUUGGAACGAUAUAGAGAUUAGCAUGGCCCCUGCACAUGUAUGACAUGCAAAUUUGUGAAGUAUUCCAUAUUUUC
Molecule: small nuclear RNA, 104 nt
Organism: Oryctolagus cuniculus (rabbit)
Lineage: Eukaryota; Metazoa; Chordata; Mammalia; Lagomorpha; Leporidae
Source: Ensembl